RNAcentral lists this long non-coding RNA (934 nucleotides) under Homo sapiens (human). RNAcentral describes it as "HSALNT0249961". The record is from RNAcentral. Lineage: Eukaryota; Metazoa; Chordata; Mammalia; Primates; Hominidae.
CAGCCUGGUAGGCUGCGCUCAGCUCACACUACCGGCCUGGAUCACAUGCCUCCCAAAGGCCCGGAUCCCAUGUCUGCUAAGGGUGAGUCAGGCAUGGAACAGUGAGGGGUAUGUGAGCAAGCAUGGGGUCUGGCCACUGUGUACAGUCAGACAUGCCAGCUGCUACAGCGGGGCAGGCGGCUCCACAUGCUGGCAUGGGCACCAGCUCUCUGCGAGGCUGUGGCCAGACCAGGCUCACUGCAAGCAGCUUCCAUGGCUGGCAGUGGGGAACGUGGUGAUACCCGGAAGCUUGGAGAUGCCAGAAACCACAGAGCCCCAAAGAGGCAGUCAUAGUUAUGGCUCAGGGAGCUCCCAGGUAUGGGCUCCCCGAAGGGCUGCAGCUCUUCUCUCCUUCUCUUUGCCUACAACACGGUGAGCAAGAGGCAUGCUUCAGUCCUGUUUGUGCUACAGCUUUUUUACCCUUGACAUUCAGCAAGUUCCAAGUUGUUGUCCUGCAACCAGGAAGAAUGAGGUAUGCAGAAUUUGCAGCAGCCUACUACUUCUUUCAAAUGAUCUGUGAAUUCUUUUGGUUUUCCUGGUACAUUCCUGUGGUUGUUCCUAGAGCAAAAGUCCAUGGUGUAAGUCUCCACACACUGUUCUGUCUGUCCAAGUGGGAGCUGUACAUCAGCCUUGUCUCCAAUCUGCCAUCUUGAAUUCUUAUCUCUAACUAUUUUGUAAUAACACUUAGCUUAAAAUACAAACACAUUGUAUAGCUGUACACAAAUUCUUUCUUUAUAUCCUAAUCUUAUAAACUUCUUCUUGCCAAAAAAUUACUUUUUAAACUUUUUUGUUAAAAACUAAUACACACUCUCCCUCUCCCUCUCCCUCUCCCCACGGUCUCCGUCUCCCUCUCCCCACGGUCUCCCUCUCCCUCUCUUUCCACGGUCUCCCUCUG